This 207-nucleotide small RNA is filed under the name Cervus elaphus hippelaphus. Lineage: Eukaryota; Metazoa; Chordata; Mammalia; Artiodactyla; Cervidae. The record is from RNAcentral.
UACUCCAAAGUGAGGUGGGUCAGGAGGACAGGUGAAGCCCAGGAGGUAUGGGCCGUGGGGUGCUGGGUGGGUAGGGUGUCGCACUAAGUUUGGCAUCAACAUGAUGACCUCCUGGCAGCAGAGGACUACCAGGCUGCUUAAGGAGGGUUGGACCAGCCCUGGUCAGAAAUGGAGCAGAUCAAGACUCCCGUGCUGAUAGGCAGAGGG